CCUACGGGAGGCAGCAGUGGGGAAUAUUGCGCAAUGGGGGAAACCCUGACGCAGCAACGCCGCGUGAAUGAUGAAGGUCUUCGGAUCGUAAAGUUCUAUCAGCAGGGAUGAAUAUUGACAGUACCUGACUAAGAAGCCCCGGCUAACUACGUGCCAGCAGCCGCGGUAA
Molecule: ribosomal RNA, 169 nt
Filed under: uncultured Bacillota bacterium
Lineage: Bacteria; Bacillati; Bacillota
Description: uncultured Firmicutes bacterium partial 16S ribosomal RNA
Rfam family: Bacterial small subunit ribosomal RNA
Source: RNAcentral